This is a non-coding RNA of Schistocerca nitens (vagrant locust), 87 nucleotides long. Lineage: Eukaryota; Metazoa; Arthropoda; Insecta; Orthoptera; Acrididae. The record is from the annotation of a RefSeq genome assembly.
AUCCAGUUGAGCUCCGCUGGUCCGGUGUGCAGGCUUCAAACCUGUAGAUGACUAACGUCAGAGUGGUUCGACUUCACUUGGUGGGCG